CGUGCGGUGCGUACAUUUAGCGUCUACUCUUACAUUUAAUAAUAACUGGUUUUUCAAUUUGUUCAAUACGCAUGUGUGUUUUUUUAUGUGUUAAUUUGAACAGAAAAGAUGGGGAUUAGGGAUACAUAGAUGAGAAAUCCCGAAGAAAGUACAUACAGAAAAAUAGCAACGAGUUUAGGUAAGUAUUAUGUAGUAAAGAAAACUCUAGCAAUGGAAGCAGAAUAGCAGUGGAAUUGUGGAAUUGUGGAAUAGCGAGGGCAGCAGUAGGAAAAGGGGACGUAAAUUGCGCGUGCGAGUUAUAAAGAGGGUGAAUAUGUAUGUACAACAUGGAGUAGUCGCAUGGAGGUCAACGCGACGCAUGCUCUGAAAUACUUUCCCAGGAUGAUAUUCUUCGGUGAGGUAAACCAGGCAGACCAUUCGAUCGUUACGAGGUGAAUCAGUGACCCAACGUAUUGCGAAGCACGAUUCGGAACAGGUGUAUCGAUUGUUAUAUCGUUCGUGUGAUAUUUUUUUUCUCGCGGAAAUAAAUAACACCACUAUCUUAUUUCAAUCCGUUAUACGUGAGCCGUAUUGAAAUUCAUUAAAAUUGAAUCGAAUAUUGGAAAAUCGAGCAUGGCAAACGAAGUUCAAUAGCCAAUUAUGGCGAGAUGAACAGGAUAUGAAAGGAUAGGGAUAGACAGGAUAUUUAAACCCUUCUGUAAAGCGAAUGCGCACCACCUGUAGCUCGAUAUCUACGUUCGAAAGGUCAACUGCCCCUUUGUCGUCGAGCUUCUCUAGUAGACAGGAAAGAAGGACGGACGAAAAAGAAAAAGAAG
Long non-coding RNA from Dufourea novaeangliae, 815 nucleotides. RefSeq lists it as uncharacterized. The record is from RefSeq and is a predicted model, not a curated record. The transcript is spliced from 3 exons. NCBI's taxonomy places the organism in Eukaryota, Metazoa, Arthropoda, Insecta, Hymenoptera, Halictidae.